This 841-nucleotide long non-coding RNA is filed under the name Mytilus galloprovincialis (Mediterranean mussel). The record is from RNAcentral. Lineage: Eukaryota; Metazoa; Mollusca; Bivalvia; Mytilida; Mytilidae.
GCUUGUUUUAAUUCAGCCUAUCCAACCAACGUGUUUAACCAACGUGUUUAACCAACGUGUUUCACCAACGUGUUAAACCAACAUGUUUAACCAACGUGUUUAACUAACCAAUCAAUCAAUGCAUGUUUCCGUUUCAUGUGUUUCAUACGGGAUCCAAGGUUUUUUUUCGCUUGUUUUAAUUGAGCCUAUCCAACCAACGUGUUUAACCAACCAACAAACCAAUCAAUCAAUGCAUGUUUCCGUUUCAUGUGUUUCAUACGGGAUCCAAGGUUUUUUUUCCGCUUGUUUUAAUUCAGCCUAUCCAACCAACGUGUUUAACCAACGUGUUUAACCAACGUGUUAAACCAACGUGUUUAACCAACGUGUUUAACUAACCAACCAACGUGUUUAACCAACCAACAAACCAAUCAAUCAAUGCAUGUUUCCGUUUCAUGUGUUUCAUACGGGAUCCAAGGUUUUUUUUCCCGCUUGUUUUAAUUCAGCCUAUCCAACCAACGUGUUUAACCAACGUGUAUAACCAACGUGUUUAACCAACGUGUUUAACUAACCAACCAACGUGUUUAACCAACCAAUCAAUCAAUGCAUGUUUCCGUUUCAUGUGUUUCAUAAGGGAUCCAAGGUUUUUUUUCCGCUUGUUUUAAUUGAGCCUAUCCAACCAACGUGUUUAACCAACGUGUUUAACCAACGUGUUAAACCAACAUGUUUAACCAACGUGUUUAACUAACCAACCAACGUGUUUAACCAACUAACCAAUCAAUCCAAUGCAUGUUUCCGUUUCAUGUGUUUCAUACGGGAUCCAAGGUGUUUUUUUUCGCUUGUUUUAAUUAAGCCAAUCCAACCA